This 111-nucleotide ribosomal RNA is filed under the name Cohnella luojiensis. Its description in RNAcentral is "partial 23S ribosomal RNA". It matches the Rfam family "Bacterial large subunit ribosomal RNA", at positions 2808 to 2925 of the family's 2925-position model. The record is from RNAcentral. Lineage: Bacteria; Bacillati; Bacillota; Bacilli; Caryophanales; Paenibacillaceae.
GAUUUCCCAAUUCGUAAGACCCCUGGAAGAACACCAGGUUGAUAGGCUCGGGGUGGAAGCGCGGCAACGUGUGCAGCUGACGAGUACUAAUCGGUCGAGGGCUUAUCCUAA